Non-coding RNA from Polypterus senegalus (gray bichir), 710 nucleotides. Lineage: Eukaryota; Metazoa; Chordata; Cladistia; Polypteriformes; Polypteridae. The record is from the annotation of a RefSeq genome assembly.
GGUCACAUCUUCUGUUUUACAUCAAGACUGAAUCGGCUCAUGUUGUUUCUUCAUUAAUUUAAAUCUAAGAUGUUUUUGUGUUAAGUGAGAAGACAUCAAUCGGCUUUUGGUGUAAAGCUUCACUCCAGGAGGUCUUGUAUUCUGACGUCUCUCAAGCCCACCUGCUCGCUCCGCUCUGCUCUUCUGCUCUGUAGACAUUUCUAGAUGUUUUCACGUUGACACUUGGUGGCCAAUGCCGUCCACUUCCUGCUCAGUCAUCACAUCUCCAGCAUGUCAGCCAUUUCUAACUCACAAAGGCUCAUCUCUCAGUCACAAUGGACGUCAGACUUGUUGUGAUUCUCUCCAUCUUUAUAACAUGUGUUGUCCCCAGGCUCAUCUCUCCAGGGUCCCCAGAAGUGAUUGAAUGUGACCUGAGAAAUGCCAGUGUGGUCAUCUGGUACCGGCAGUACCCUGGGCAGCCCCCGGUGGCUUUAGGGUUCUAUGACAACAAGUCACCUCUUCCACCAACGAUGUUCAUUGACUAUUUUAAUGGAGUCUUUUCUUAUUCCAAAGAGACUGCGACUUUAACAUUUAAAAAUGUCACCAAAAGUGACGCUGCAACUUAUUAUUGUGUGAAGAUGGAGAGUCAGAGGUCCGUGUUUGGGAAUGGAGUCACUCUGACUUAUGAGGAGACGUACAGUAAGUGCUGCUUCAUGACACGCCGUCUCUGA